GGGGGUUUUAGGAUAGGCCCCAAACCUGUGUGACUGGUGACCUUAUUAAAAUGGAAAGCGUGAGGUCAUUUGUCCUUCUUCCCCCAGUUGGAAGGAGGUUGAAGGCAAGGUGCACAAAAAUAAACUAAGUGCAAAUGGCAGCUGCAGGAAGAGGUGUGAGUUCUGUGGAGCUGGGGAGCAUGGACAGCGAUGCUGUGGGACAUGUUCAGUAUUAAGGACAGGAUUCUCCAGGGGAUCCCAGUGAGCAGUAGCAGACACUGGCUGAGACUUCCAUCUCUUGCUAAGACUUCUAUAGAAGAGACCUUGGUGUUCCCACAGAUUGAGGGAGGAUUCUGUCAGCUGGCUUGAAGAAUGAAAGGCCCUCUAUUUCUUGCCCCAGCACACAGCUACACUCCCUUCAUCACACUAACAGUUCCAGGGGAUGCCAUGUGAGCCUCUGUUCUUGGAUCUUGAUUUGUUCGAUGACUUCUCCAAAGCCCCAGGGCUCACAGUCACCAGGGUUCCUCUGGUUCCUCCAGACCUGGUCUCUGGUCUCACUUCCAUUGUGAACAAGAGAUCUGAGCCCAUCUGGGGAGGGCUUGCGGCAGAGGGGCCUGGCAUAGCAUUAGGUUCACAUGAUGUCCAGGUUGACAGGGAUAUAUUUAACUGUCUAUAUUUGCUGUCCCAACUCACUUGUCCCAAACCAGCCCCUCCUACCUCCAGCCUGUCCUGCAUCAUCGGGUCCCUGUUGUCCCUGCUCACCCCGCUCCAGCUGUACAAUUGUGGUCUGGGCCACAGGCUAUUUUUUGCUUGGUGCCAAAGAUUAUUCAGUUAUCAGGAAUGUGUGUUUAAAUGGCCAUCUCUGGAAUAAGGAUUAUAAAUAGGAACUUGGGGUCAAGACUGGGGCCCCAGUGUCCUCCUCUUUGUCCUAGUUCCUGUCCCAGUUCUGGGAUUUUAUGUGGGGUGGCCACCAUAUGGCUGGGGUGAGAUGGGCAAGCCCAAGGUUGUCUAGGGGGAAGCACCCAGGCUGGAAGGUCAGGGGCUCCACCCAAAGAAUGUCUCCUGAAGGAAAGUCGCCUGGCCUCUCUAAGACCAGAUUUCUCUCUGGUCAAGGAGAACACUCAGAACCAGUAGCUCCAUGCAUGGCAAACAGGUGGUGGGCCUCUGUCCAUGAAGCAAAAUCCAAGUUGGAUGAAUGGCUGUCUGGGAGGAGAGCCUGUCCAUUGUCAAAUACUAGUUCUUUCUGGGAAGGGAGCACAAAGUAUUAAAGAGAAAGGAACAGGAGGAAAAGAGGCUUAGGGGAUAGGAUUAGGAUGGAAUUUGCCCCAGAGAGCUCUUAGUCUGGUGGUGGAGGCCAGGCUCAGGCUUUACCUCAGCACCAAGGGGGCAGAGUUGAGCCCAGAUGUUCAGGAUGACGUUGGAGGCUUCCCCAGAGAGUGAGAGGAUGCCUCCUGAGGCUCCAGGUCUCCUGGAGAAGAUCUAAGUUCAGGCUCAGGCCGGGCAGAGUAGCAGAUGGGAGCAGGCAAAGGUGCCUGGACAACAGGGCCAACCUGCUUCCUGGUGUCCCUUCUGCCUGGAAGUACCUUCUCAAGGCCUGGGACAUGGCUCCCUCUGGUUCCCUUCAUUCCACCCAGGGGAAGGGGAAGAGGACAGUCUUCUACUCUAACACAGCUGAAACUAGGCUUUGGGGCACCACACAUUUCUCGCAUCAACUUCUCUAUGUAGUAGCAGGAACCCUGACUCACCUUCCUCUGUGGAUUGUCAAGUGUGAGACUGGGACAUGCAUCCCAGGAUAGCUCUAAGUGCAGCCAACACAGUUGCAGAUAGUAUCAACUUUUUAUGAUGUGAAAGAUUAGAGAUCCUUAGUCUAAAGGAAUGUUGUUAUAAUCAAUAAUAGUAACUUUCUGCACAUAGUCCUAUUGUCAGUUGACCUAUUGCCAGUCUCCUGAUGCCACCAAAUCUAGACAAGCUCACCAGUUCAGUGGAUUCUAUCCCCACAUUCUGCAUGUAGGUCUGCCCCAGGGACAUAAGCUUCUUCUGAUCUCCUGGUCCAUCUCUGCUCUCUCUUACCUUCCCCUCACCAUUGAGAAGUCUCCGGCACAGAUGACUAGUUGUUCUAGAACAGAGUCGUGGAUUUGCUCCAUCCUCAUCCCUGAACCUCAGAGACACUUAGCUGCCCCUCCUCUUCAGGGUGAGAUGAAGUGGCUAAAGAUCAUGGAAAAUGGCCAACAUCACCUUGACUGGGUCUAGAACCACCCAGAACCCUGUACUGGUUACUUUCUGUUGCUGUGACAAAAUACUAUUAUUAGGAUAUGUAUAUGUAUAUGUAUAUGGAUAUGGAUAUGGAUAUGGAUAUGGAUAUGGAUAUGGAUAUGGAUAUGUAUGUCCAAGGAAAGGGUUAUUUGGUUUAUUUGGACUUACAGUUGGAGAAGAAGAGUCCAUGACGGUGGUGAAGCAUGACAGCAGGCAGUCAGAGCAGGAAGCUGAGAUACCACGUUGGCAGCCACAAACAUGAAAGAGAGGUGUGACUGGAAAUGGUAUAAACUUGAGAGCUGCCCCAGUUAUGUACUUCCUGCAGCAAGGCCCUACCCUAUGAAAGCUCCCUAACUCCCCGGUGCCACCAACUGGAGACCAAGCGUUCAAACCCAUGAGCCUAUGUGGGGCAUUUCUAAUUCAAACUACCAUAGAGACCUAGCUCUGCCUGUAAGGGAUCAUCUAGAUCAGGUUGACUGAGCUGAGGGAGCACACCUUCACCAUGGGGAGGACCAUCCCAUGGCCUGGGGCUCUGGGCUGAAUUCUAAGGCAGGAGUCGAGCACUGCCAUUCAUCUCUCUUUGCUUCCUGACUGUCCACAGGAUGUUUUGAAACAUAAUGCCUUGUGCCCCUGCUGCUGCACCUUCCUCCAUGAUGGUCUAUGAGUCCAGAGAAACCACCCCUUCUCUCGAUUCUUUUGACAGAUACUUUGCCCCCAUGG
This 2952-nucleotide long non-coding RNA is filed under the name Mus musculus (house mouse). RNAcentral's name for it is "long non-coding RNA chr6:84242866-84245818". The record is from RNAcentral. Lineage: Eukaryota; Metazoa; Chordata; Mammalia; Rodentia; Muridae.